UACGUAGGGUGCGAGCGUUAAUCGGAAUUACUGGGCGUAAAGCGUGCGCAGGCGGUUCGCUAAGUCAGGUGUGAAAUCCCCGGGCUUAACCUGGGAAUUGCGCUUGAAACUAGCGGGCUUGAGUGUGGCAGAGGGGGGUGGAAUUCCACGUGUAGCAGUGAAAUGCGUAGAGAUGUGGAGGAACACCGAUGGCGAAGGCAGCCCCCUGGGUCAACACUGACGCUCAUGCACGAAAGCGUGGGGAGCAAACAGG
RNAcentral lists this ribosomal RNA (253 nucleotides) under uncultured bacterium. Its description in RNAcentral is "partial 16S ribosomal RNA". It matches the Rfam family "Bacterial small subunit ribosomal RNA", at positions 524 to 776 of the family's 1533-position model. The record is from RNAcentral.